Long non-coding RNA from Talpa occidentalis (Iberian mole), 706 nucleotides. RefSeq lists it as uncharacterized. The transcript has 3 exons. The record is from RefSeq and is a predicted model, not a curated record. Lineage: Eukaryota; Metazoa; Chordata; Mammalia; Eulipotyphla; Talpidae.
AGAAUCGGAUAUCUGUUGAACUUCAGAAUUAUUUACAUUUCUUCAGAAGAGUUCUCACCAACAGCAGAAGAAUAACAUGAAGACGUAUGUGUUGUCAUAUGAACCAUGUAUGAUGGAGCUGGAAGAGGGUCCAAAGAGCUCAUCCGUCCAGUCCUCUGUGUCCCCCUGGAUGACUGUCUCAACUGCUUGAGCUGCAACGCAUGGUCCUAAGAAUCCACACCUGGGCUGAGGCACUUGCGAACAGAUACCCGGCAGUCAGACACUCAACUCCACCCCUGCCAUUCCGUCUCAAGAGAGACCGUACUUCUGAGAUGCACUUAGAGUGGCUGAGUCUCCAGAAUUGCUGGUGAAUCCUCUGGAUGACAAACCAUGUUCCAGCAGUCCCUGAGGCCAGAUUGACCUUUAGUCAUGGAAGUGCUGAGCCCUAAUGAUUGAGAUCCCCACCUAUAAAAUGCCAGAUGGAAUCUGCAAAGGGCGGCGUCACGGGGACUCCAGCAGCAGCAGUAGCAGGAGCAGCAAUAGAGGCCGAAGCAGAAGCCGAAAGAGAAGCAGAGAAGCAGCAGAACGAACGCUAGAGAGCCCAGAUAGAGUGAAGACUUGCUGGGGGCUGGGAGGCCUGCCAGCCUGCCAGCCUCCCAGCCAGCACCCCUGCCUGCCAUAUGCCUGGUGAACCCCAAAUAAAAAACCUGCAAAACUACUGAGGACU